Molecule: long non-coding RNA, 1148 nt
Organism: Dreissena polymorpha
Lineage: Eukaryota; Metazoa; Mollusca; Bivalvia; Myida; Dreissenidae
Exons: 2
Source: RefSeq, a predicted model, not a curated record
AAGGUCAAGAUCACUGUGACCUUCAAUAUAAAAAAUGUUAAAGUUGUUAUAACUUUGGUAUGCUUGGACCUAGAGUCUUGAAACUUGACAUGAAGGUUGGCCAUAACUAGUAAGUAACCACUGGUCAUUUCAAGGUCAUUCAUUUGAAGGUCAAGGUCACUGUGACCUUGAAUGUAAAAAUGUUAAAGUUCUUAUUUCAUGGUAUAACUUUGGUAUGCUUGGACCUAGAGUCUUCAAACUUGACAUGAAGGUUGGCCAGGAUUAACAGAUGACCACUGGUCAUUUCAAGGUCAUUCAUUUGAAGGUGAAGGUCACUGUGACCUUCAAUAUAAAAAUGUUAAAGUUGUUAUAACUUUGGUAUGCUUGGACCUAGAGUCUUGAAACUUGACAUGAAGGUUGGCCAGAACUAGUAAGUAACCACUGGACAUUUCAAGGUCAUUCAUUUGAAGGUCAAGGUCACUGUGACCUUGAAUGUAAAAAUGUUAAAGUUGUUAUAACUUUGGUAUGCUUGGACCUAGAGUCUUGAAACUUGACAUGAAGGUUGGCCAGAACUAGUAAGUAACCACUGGACAUUUCAAGGUCAUUCAUUUGAAGGUCAAGGUCACUGUGACCUUGAAUGUAAAAAUGUUAAAGUUCUUAUUUCAUGUUAUAACUUUGGUAUGCUUGUACCUAGAGUCUUCAAACUUGAAAUAAAGAUUGGCCAGUACUAGAAGAUGACCACUGGACAUUUCAAUGUCAUUCAUUUGAAGGUCAAGGUCACUGUGACCUUAAAUGUUAAAAUGUUAAAAUUGUUAUAACUUUGGUAUGCUUGGACAUAGAGUCUUCAAACUUGACAUGAAGGUUUGCAAGCACACUUAGAUGACCACUGGUCAUUUCAAGGUCAUUCAUUCUAAGGUCAAGUGAAACCACAGACUAUCAUUCAAGCUUGGAUCAUAUUUAUGUGUCCAAUCUAUCUGCUAGAACUGGUGUGAUAGAAACCUUUUGGAGUGAUCAUAAGGCUGUCUGGAUUUCUGUGUAGGUAUGUGAAAGCAAAACAAUAAAUAGUAUUAUUUCAUCUAAGUUUAUUUUCUUACAUUUGAUAAUGAAAUUGAUGGAAACUUCAAACAAUAUGUUACUAAUUUGCUAAUAAAAAAUUGAGAUCAAACUUU